Pantherophis guttatus is the source of this 116-nucleotide long non-coding RNA. RefSeq lists it as uncharacterized. NCBI's taxonomy places the organism in Eukaryota, Metazoa, Chordata, Lepidosauria, Squamata, Colubridae. The record is from RefSeq and is a predicted model, not a curated record.
CAGGUUCCUCCGCUGGCAUAAAAAUAACUAAGAACUAGAAGAAUCUCUUUUCUUGUUCUGAAGUUGCUGAAAUGUGGGUAUCAUUUGUUCAAGAGAAUUAAAAAAAAAUUGGAAUC